GACGAACGCUGGCGGCGUGCUUAACACAUGCAAGUCGAACGGAAAGGCCCUGCUCUUGUGUGGUGCUCGAGUGGCGAACGGGGGAGUAACACGUGUGUAUCCUGCCCUUGUCUUUGGGAUAUCACCAGGGAACUGGGGCUAUUACUGCGUAGGAGAUCUUGAUGCAUGGUGGUGGAUGGUAAAAUACGGCGUUUGGGUAUGGACUCGCGGCUUAUCAGCUUGUUGGUGGGGUUGUGGAUUACCAAGGCUCUGAAGGGUAGCCGGCCUGUGAGGGUGACCGGCCACAUUGGGACUGAGAUACGACCCAGACUCCUACGGGAGGCAGCAGGGGGAGUUAUUGCAGAAUAGGCGGGAGCCUGAUGCAGCAGCGCCGCGUCCGGGAUGACGGGUUUCGGGUUGUAAACCUCUGUCGACUGAGACGAAGAGAUAGUGACGGUAAUUUGUAAAGAAGCAACGGCUAACUACGUG
This 468-nucleotide ribosomal RNA is filed under the name uncultured bacterium. Its description in RNAcentral is "partial 16S ribosomal RNA". It matches the Rfam family "Bacterial small subunit ribosomal RNA", at positions 28 to 507 of the family's 1533-position model. The record is from RNAcentral.